Molecule: small nucleolar RNA, 135 nt
Organism: Sorex araneus (European shrew)
Lineage: Eukaryota; Metazoa; Chordata; Mammalia; Eulipotyphla; Soricidae
Source: Ensembl
GCAUGGGUUUGGAUUUAUGGCAGGUCCGUCCCCAUGGGCCUCUCAUAGUGCCCCAUGCCAGAGCAAGCCGUGGCCGGGAACCAUUGCCUGGCCCUUUGGCAGUGGGCUGCAGGCACUGAAGCCGGUCUUACAAUG